GGCAGUGUGGUGUAGUGGUUAGAGUACCAGACUGCGUGAUCUGGGAUGGCAGGAUUCAAAUCCUCCCACUGGGCCA
Molecule: non-coding RNA, 76 nt
Organism: Podarcis lilfordi (Lilford's wall lizard)
Lineage: Eukaryota; Metazoa; Chordata; Lepidosauria; Squamata; Lacertidae
Source: the annotation of a GenBank genome assembly